GCGGGUAUAGUUUAGUGGUAAAACUAGCCUUCCAAG
This 36-nucleotide transfer RNA is filed under the name Gaultheria fragrantissima. RNAcentral describes it as "partial tRNA-Gly". RNAcentral also lists the same sequence under 1 other name. Lineage: Eukaryota; Viridiplantae; Streptophyta; Magnoliopsida; Ericales; Ericaceae. The record is from RNAcentral.